GUCUACGGCCAUGCCACCCUGAAUGUGCCUGAUCCCGUCUGAUCUCGGAAGCUAAGCAGGGUCGGGCCCGGUUAGUACUUGGAUGGGAGACCACCCAGGAAGACCAGGUUCUGCAGGCG
This 119-nucleotide ribosomal RNA is filed under the name Pteropus alecto (black flying fox). Lineage: Eukaryota; Metazoa; Chordata; Mammalia; Chiroptera; Pteropodidae. The record is from RNAcentral.